UUCAAGCUCAGCUCGACUUGAGUAUGUUUUUGUUCCAGCUCUGAGUAGCGAGCCACAAGAUCACAAGAGUUCUGCGAAGAACCAAUCGACUAAAUGUCAAAAAUAAUUCACUUCCGAGUGAAAAGGGAAAAACACACGUUUCUAAGACUACAGCCGAAUACAAGCAUUCGACCGUAGUCUCGGGGACUACACCCAGUGGGUGCACUCAGCGUGCCCCCACUAAUCCUGUUGAAGACAAAGUCGACCAGUCGACCUCAAAAAAAAAGAGAUGCAUUCUCUAAGACUGUGAUCAACUGCAAGCAGUCGACCACAGUCUCGGGGACUACACCCAGUGGGUGCACUCAGCGUGCCCCCACCGGUUUGUGAAAUCCAGUCGACCGGUCGACUGACGGAAAGAUUGACAUCAUAAAGCCUAAGGCCGACUGCAAGCAGUCGACCUUAGCCUUGGGGACUACACCCAAUGGGUGCACUCAGCGUGCCCCCACCGGUUUGUGAAAUCCAGUCGACCAGUCGACUGACAGAAAGAUUGACAUCAUAAAGCCUAAGGCCGACUGCCAGCAGUCGACCUUAGCCUUGAGGACUACACCCAGCGGGUGCACUCAGCGUGCCCCCGCUAACACGGAGUUUAUUCGACACACCCAGUGGGUGACUGCUAUAAAUUCCGGAAAAGAAAAGUUUUUUGGUAGCAUAUCCAACAGAACAAACAACGGUCGACUGACCUGGACAUUGCUUUGGAGGGCAGAGCUGGCGUCAUAAGCUGCCUGGCUCGCGUCCCGGAUGGUCUUCAGCUGCUCCAUCAUGAGUCCCGCCUGGCGUAUUGCUUCCUUCGCUGCACCAGCUUGGUCCUCUGGGACGUGGUGAGUCGUGAAGAGGGAGGGCUGCUGAGCACUCGUCAGUGGAUUUGCGAAGGACACCGUGUUUUCCGACUCUUCCUGCGUGCCAGUGGUUCUUCAUCCUCGUCGUCGUCAGGAAGAUUGAUAACAGUAUUGGGCGGAGCUGCGGAGAAGAAUCAGGAUCGGAGGUCGCGAGUCAGUCGACUAAAAACGGUGUUAAGAAUACAGUACCUGGGUUCGAAGUUGCCGCAUCCUCCAUCUCGUGGUCAUCGGCCCGGGCCGAGGUCUCAGAAGUAGCAGCACUGCAACUCCAAAGGAUCAGUCGACUAACUUAAGCGUCGACCAGAGAUAAAGUUCACACAGAAUAAGAAAAUAUGAGCAGCACAGUUACCCUGAUAUGGUGGGGAUGGACACCUUCAUCUUCGGCAAGAGCUUGAUCGGCUUCGACGAGGCCGCCCUGGGCUGCUUCGGC
This 1305-nucleotide long non-coding RNA is filed under the name Triticum aestivum (bread wheat). RNAcentral's name for it is "long non-coding RNA (TAES_LNC003068)". The record is from RNAcentral. Lineage: Eukaryota; Viridiplantae; Streptophyta; Magnoliopsida; Poales; Poaceae.